RNAcentral lists this unclassified non-coding RNA (380 nucleotides) under uncultured Alphaproteobacteria bacterium. RNAcentral describes it as "contains 16S-23S intergenic spacer region". Lineage: Bacteria; Pseudomonadati; Pseudomonadota; Alphaproteobacteria. The record is from RNAcentral.
UCGCGGCUUAUCACCGGCAGUCCCCUUAGAGUGCCCAACUGAAUGAUGGCAACUAAGGGCGAGGGUUGCGCUCGUUGCGGGACUUAACCCAACAUCUCACGACACGAGCUGACGACAGCCACGCAGCACCUGUCUCCGGUCCAGCCGAACUGAAGAGUUCCAUCUCUGGUACUCGCGACCGGGAUGUCAAAGGCUGGUAAGGUUCUUCGCGUUGCUUCGAAUUGAACCACAUGCUCCACCGCUUGUGCGGGCCCCCGUCAAUUCCUUUGAGUUUUAAUCUUGCGACCGUACUCCCCAGGCGGGAUGCUUAAUGCGUUAGCUCCGGCACGAACGAAAUGAAUCGCUCACACCAAGUAUGCAUCGUUUAGGGCGUGGACUAC